This 499-nucleotide ribosomal RNA is filed under the name uncultured bacterium. RNAcentral describes it as "partial 16S ribosomal RNA". It matches the Rfam family "Bacterial small subunit ribosomal RNA", at positions 899 to 1397 of the family's 1533-position model. The record is from RNAcentral.
ACUCAAAUGAAUAGACGGGGGCCCGCACAAGCGGAGGAACAUGUGGUUUAAUUCGAUGAUACGCGAGGAACCUUACCUGGGCUUAAAUGUGCUCUGACUACUGGUGAAAGCUGGUUUUCCGCAAGGACAGAGUACAAGGUGCUGCAUGGUUGUCGUCAGCUCGUGCCGUGAGGUGUCGGGUUAAGUCCCAUAACGAGCGCAACCCUUAUUGUCAGUUGCUAACAGGUUAAGCUGAGGACUCUGGCGAGACUGCCACCGUAAGGUGAGAGGAAGGCGGGGAUGACGUCAAAUCAGCACGGCCCUUAUGUCCAGGGCUACACACGUGUUACAAUGGCCGAUACAGAGGGCAGCGACUACGCGAGUAGGAGCUAAUCCGAUAAAGUCGGUCUCAGUUCGGAUCGGAGUCUGCAACCCGACUCCGUGAAGCUGGAUUCGCUAGUAAUCGCGCAUCAGCCAUGGCGCGGUGAAUACGUUCCCGGGCCUUGCACACACCGCCCGU